GAUGAACGCUGGCGGCGUGCCUAAUACAUGCAAGUCGAGCGAACGGACGAGAAGCUUGCUUCUCUGAUGUUAGCGGCGGACGGGUGAGUAACACGUGGAUAACCUACCUAUAAGACUGGGAUAACUUCGGGAAACCGGAGCUAAUACCGGAUAAUAUUUUGAACCGCAUGGUUCAAAAGUGAAAGACGGUCUUGCUGUCACUUAUAGAUGGAUCCGCGCUGCAUUAGCUAGUUGGUAAGGUAACGGCUUACCAAGGCAACGAUGCAUAGCCGACCUGAGAGGGUGAGCGGCCACACUGGAACUGAGACACGGUCCAGACUCCUACGGGAGGCAGCAGUAGGGAAUCUUCCGCAAUGGGCGAAAGCCUGACGGAGCAACGCCGCGUGAGUGAUGAAGGUCUUCGGAUCGUAAAACUCUGUUAUUAGGGAAGAACAUAUGUGUAAGUAACUGUGCACAUCUUGACGGUACCGAAUCAGAAAGCCACGGCUAACUACG
Molecule: ribosomal RNA, 495 nt
Filed under: uncultured bacterium
Lineage: Bacteria
Description: partial 16S ribosomal RNA
Rfam family: Bacterial small subunit ribosomal RNA
Source: RNAcentral